GCCUCUGCCUCCCUAGGUUCUAGAUUUCCUUUUCAGUUGUUUCCUUGCUGCAGUUACUACAGGGACUGGAGCUCAAGAAUGAAGCAAAAUAACAAAAUAGAAUGCAAAGGUGGCCUCUGUCAGGGACUCAGAGGCAGGGCUCAGGGACAGAGAGUUUUGAGCCUGGACGGCCCUGAGAAAGGAAGGGUCCAGCGUCUGCUCCAGAGAACUCACUGCCGCCACCCCGGUGUGCUGUCGGAUGACUGAGGGAUGAACCGGAAGCUGCUGGCAGCCGGUGCCUUGGAGCAGAGAGGAAUGUGGGUUUGCCGUAGCUUCUGUGUCAGCUGACUGGAGCACAGGCUGAUUCGGCCGUGGCAGGGUCAGUGCUGGCCCCGUGAGCAGCUGGCUGGCUGUGCCAUCAGCCUGGGUCAGGCCCCAUGACUGAACUCAAAGCCAGGAGGAGCCCUGAGCUUCUGUGGGCAGGCGUUGCCAAGGCUGUGGCUGCAGAGAAGGAUGAAACCUACCCAGACUACCCUGCUCUGAGACUAUCAGCCAGUCCCCUCACCUUGGCUGUAGCUUGCCCAAGUCCCUCCAUCUUGAACGGCUUCCUUCCUGCCAACCAGGAAGAACGCUUAGGUCUCCUUCUGGUUACCCCAAGCUGUGUACACAUUCCAUCUCAGUGUGUCCUGCACCCCAUGUGAACUCUGCUUAGAAGCUUGCUGGCUCCCCCACCCCACGGUGCUCACACCAGGCACUCCUCCCUUCCGGGUCUCAGCUGGUCCUGAGGUUCUGUUUCACUCCUCCUGGGUCUACAGCUCCUUUCCAGCUCACUAGCCCUGUCCUCCCCUCCCUGCCCUGCACCCAUGCAAGGCACCUACCUGACAGGUGGAUCUAAUUGUGCCAAGACUUCUGUGCUGUGUUCUCCCUGUCAAGACAGAGAAGGAAGGACUGAAAGGCUGUGGGGGGGGCUGGGUGUUAUGAGCUGAUGCCUCAAAAGGCAAACUGGAGUGUUGACGCACAGGACCCUGUUUGGAGACAAGGCCUAGACAGAGCCAUCAAGUUGAAAUGAGGUCACUAAAAUGGGCUCUAACCUGGUAGGAUUGAUGUCCAUGUACAAAGGGGAGGGCUGGACAUGGGAACACAGGUAAAGGGCAAGUAAAGACACUGGCACUCCUGCUCCCUACCAGCCCCCAGAGGAAGCCAGCCCUGCUGCCAUUUGACCUUGGCCGUGUAACCUGCUCAGCAGCCUAGUGCUGAAUAAGCUGAGCUUCAGCACUGUGCUCCCAGGCAGCUCUGGGACAAUAACAAAACAGCAAACACUGGCACCACAUAAGGAAAUGGCCCCUGAGAGGCAACCAGAGAGCCCGUGACUGGGGCCAGGGACCAGCGGGCUGCUGGGAAUGGUACAAGCUUUGUAUAACCAGGGCUUCUGACCCUUUGGGGAACCUGGCCACCUAAAUGCCUCAUCUGCUUUUUGUUUGUUUGUUUUGACUUAUUUGUGGGCUCUAUCUGUAUGUACAUCUGCAUGACAGAAGAGGGCAUUAGAUGCCAGUAUAGAUGGUUGUGAGGCACCAUGUGGUUGCUGGGAAUUGAACUCAGGACCCCUCGAAGAGCAGAGAGUGCUCUUAACUGCUGCUCCAUCUCUCCAGCCCCAAUCCCUCAUCAUUUAAAUGCAAACACACACACAAAGUUUUGAGGGACAGAAUUAGCCCAAAGGUUGUUAGACUGAUACCUUUAGGACAGGAGUUAACAAAGCACAGACAGCCAAUGCCCAAAUUUGGCUAGGGACCAUAAUUAUAAUAAAGCUUUAUUGAGACACAGCCAUGCUCACUUACUAAUGUACUGACUGAAGGGGUUUUGCCCAUAAUGGCAGCACCAAGAAGAUGUCAUAUGCAAAGGCUGGGAAUUUCACUGCCUUCUCCUUGGUAGGAUUGGCAAAAUUAGCUCAUCGAUGGAUCUAACCCCUCUGUCAGGCAGGAAGAGGCGUUGGUCACAAGGAUCCUCCCCCUCAACCGCCUGUGCCUCCAUCUAGCGCCCCAUCUUGUUACUUGCUACAUUCAUUCUCAGUGCUCACAAACGCUCUUCUCCAGCAGACUAAACCACCUCCAUUUUCAGGACGGUCUGUGCACACAGGGACACGGGUUUUCUGCAACACCAUCUGGACUGACCCCUGGAGGCCAUCUCACCCACCUGCCCAGUGAGCUCCUUCUUGGUCAUCAGGCCCCAGCUUCCGAGUGUCUCCUCCUUGGUGUGGCCUUACGACGACAUCCCUGUCCCGCCCUUGCUGCUGGACUCUGCACGCCUGGGGGAUCAAGCAUCAAGACGGCAGACCAGGCUCAAGCUCAGCCUGAGACUUGCAAAAGCCACCCCAUGGGCUGAUGCUGAACUCAAGAAUCCACUGAAAGAGGGAGGGGAUGGGAGAGGAAUGAGGCCGCUGGGAAGCAGUGGUAGUCUGCCGCCUGCAUGUUUCUGGGCACCCUGCAGCCUCCCUUAGGCCCGAGGAGGGAGUCAGGCUCCUUACACGCGCUCCUGCUGGGGCUCGGAGCUUUCCCACUCACUGUCUGGUGGCUGUGCCCGCCAUUUGCAAUCCGCAGGCAAAGAGUGAAGCGUGGAGCCAUCCCUACUACGGCAGGACACACGAGCCCAUCCUUCCUACUGGGGGCUGGCUCAGGUGCUCAUCCAGGGUAGACAAAUUUUAAUUCAGAACGUGGCCGCUCUGCCAAGAGAUCACAUCCAAAGACCUUCUACUUCUACGUGAUCUGGCUGGAACACAAAUACCUUUAAUCCCAGGGGACAGCGGCAAGCAGAUCUCUGAGUUCCAGGCGGUGACGUUCAGGUAGUUCAGUUGAGAGUGAGUUUGAGAGGCAGUGCUAUGGAGUUAAGUUCAUGGCAGUUCAUUAGUGGAAUCCAGAGGCAGUUUUUACCAGGACAGCUUUUCAGAGAUAGGUCUCAGAGAGAGAACAGGCUAGACACGGGUGAAGACAGAACAAGCCAGAGAACGAGAAGGAGCCAGAAGAUUAGAACAUAUUGCCAAAGUUAGUAUGAGGCCAAGCAGAGCAAUUCAGUCAGAGGCUGAGAGAGAAGCCAGCUUGAUUCAGUCAGCUUGGAGAGGAGUUUAAGUCAGAACAGCUGAGUUGAACCAGCCAGCCAGACUUCAGAAAGAGCUAGAAAGAGCUUAUUCAGCAGCAAGUCUCAGAGGCCGAAAACAUUCCAAGCCUAGAUUAGAGUGUAUGGAGGCUAGAAGCUCCCAGGACUAGGCCUAGGUUAGCAGAUGAAGACAAUUGGCCUCCAAGAUGACGAUUGCCUCAGGCAAACAAAAGCUUUUUAUAAUCUAUCGCUAGAACUCUCAAAAGAACGGUGUCUGGGCCGGUUGUGUUGGCGCACACUGGUGGGAUUUGCUGAAGGAGGCAGAGGCAGGAGGAUCACGAGUUCGAGGCCCGCCUGGGCUACACAGUUUUUUUCCUUUCCCAAUCUGUAAGUAGUAGUAUUAAAAAAAAAGAAAAAAAAGAAAAAAAAAAAAAAAGAACAGUGUCUGGGAUGGUAGAGGAAGUAGAUGAGAUGAGGCUGUGCCCUGGGAGGGGAAGUAUGCCUUGUCUUGCUCUACCUGUUUUCCUUGCUUCGGCCUGAGGUAGAGUGUGCUUCCCCAGCCCUUGGCUUCGGCCCGGCCCACAGGACCUGCUUUGGCAAACAGCAGAUGUGUAAAAGUGAUAACUCUGAAGCCAACCUCAUGAGGGACCACGUGGGUUUUUGUUUGUUUGUUUUGUUUUUUCACGAAUGGCCUUUCUCUGGGAUGGUCCCACCCUACUGGCCCAAUGCCCCAGGAAGGUGAAACCCAGCCACCCAGGCUAUGGUACGCUGAGGUGCUAAGACCCACACCAUUAACAGGCAUAGCUCUGCCUCACCUUAUCUCAGAGGGGGAAGCCUGGAUCGUACAGACGGCCACCUGGACAGGCGAUGUCACAGUGCCCCCUUCAUCGGGAAUUCACCCCAAGAGCACACACCGCUCUCAUGCUUGAAACUGCAGACAGCCUACCAAGCUCCGUGUAAGAUGUCUCCCCACAUUCUGCAAGGCCUACCCCGCCUGGCCCUCAGGCUCCAGGCCCCGGGGGCAUUACUCGUCUUACGUUUUUGUACUGGCUGGUUUUGUGUCAACUUGACAGAAGCUGGAGUCAUCAAGAGAAGAAGGAGCCUCAGCUGAGGAAAUGCCUCCUUGAGAUCCAGCUGUAGGGCAUUUUCUCAAUUAGUGAUCAAUGGAGAGGACCCAAACCGUUGUGGAUGGUGCCAUCCCUGGGCUGGUGGUCCUGGGGUCUAUAAGAGCAGGCUGAGCAAGCCAUGGGGAGCAAGACAGUAAGCAGUACCCUUCUAUGGCCUCUGCAUCAGCUCCUGCCUCCAGGUCCCUGCCCUGCUUGAGUUCCUGUCCUGACUUCCUCCAAUGAUGGACUGUGAUCCAGAAGUCUAAACCAAAUAAACCCUUUCCUCCUCA
Molecule: long non-coding RNA, 4462 nt
Organism: Meriones unguiculatus (Mongolian gerbil)
Lineage: Eukaryota; Metazoa; Chordata; Mammalia; Rodentia; Muridae
Exons: 3
Source: RefSeq, a predicted model, not a curated record